ACUCCAGCAGCCACCUCCAGUUUCCCACUGCAGGUGAGAUAAAUCUCAGCUUAAAAAACAGCUUUUUUUUUUUUUUUUUCCCCAGGAAAAGGCUCCUGACGAGGACACCGAAAGCUGGGACGUGGCGGCGCUGCCACUCUCUGCAGAGUGGGAUGUCCCCGGGGAGACAGCACAAGUUAUUCUUGACAGCUCCUCGCCCCGUAAUUGUUCCCCGAGCUGGAGGUGGGAGAUGGGUAUGGAUGUGGUCCCGGGGCGCAGCUCGCAGAGGGUCUUUGGCUCUCCAUCCUUUUGAGGAGCAGGCAGAUGGCAUCAGGAGACACCGCAGUGUCCCAGGACGUCGCCUCCUGCUCCAGUCCCCUCAGAAGAACCCGUGGCCGCAGCCUCCAUGUGCAGUUUGAAUUUGGAGCUCGGAGCCGUGCUGCGCCUGGAGCCAACCCAGCUGGCUGAGAGACGUCACCGCGAUUAUUUCAGUUAACUCGAUUUACUGCUAUUACUGUCAGCCGGACCUAACGACCCGACACGGAGCAGCAGCCCUUAGAGGACCCAUUUCUAAUUAAUUUUAGCUCAUAAACUAAUUAAUGGAUUUACUUGUAAA
This is a long non-coding RNA of Harpia harpyja (harpy eagle), 595 nucleotides long. RefSeq lists it as uncharacterized. The record is from RefSeq and is a predicted model, not a curated record. NCBI's taxonomy places the organism in Eukaryota, Metazoa, Chordata, Aves, Accipitriformes, Accipitridae. The transcript has 2 exons.